GAGCUGGUGACAGUUAGGAGUGUUGGAGGAGUUAUUUGAAGUGUUUGAAGCAGAAAGUGACCUGUAUGCAGAGUCUGAAUCAGAACCAUCACAGAAAGGCACUACAUCUGGGAACAAAUUAUAUUUGGAAUUGGACCAACAUCAUGAGGCGAAGACACCAUUGAUAUUAAGGAAGAGAUUGUAGAGGAAUAUUACAAAGGUGGUUAUGAAGAUAACCCAGCACAAGAUACUUCUGGGAGUGAGUGCAAGCUGCGAUGGGUUUCCUUGCGUGACCAGUAUCAAAGAUGUACUUAAGGAAGAUUGCUACAAAAUGUGGCCAGGAAGCAACAAGAAAACAAAAUACAAGUAUGCUGAUGAAAUGUCCUUUGUGAUGCCUUCUUUGCUUGAGAGAGAGAGGCAGUGUCUAAUCUAGCAACUUAUGGAGCAAGUGUGGAUACUGAGGACGUGGAAGAUGAGGAGGAUGAUGAUAUGGAAUUACAACCAAAGAAACACAAAUGUAGCAGUGGUGAAGACCAGCCAUCUAUUGGAGAGAUGUGUUCAGGACAAGUAGGCAAAUGUGCAAUCAAGACAACAGUGUGUACUUCAUUACGAAAAUCCAUGCCGCCACCUCAGACAGCUUCUGCCAUGCUAAUGAAAUAUUUAGUAGAUAAUGAGAAGGAAAAAGUGUCUACUGAUCCCAUUGAUUUGUUCUUUAAUACCAUGGCUGCUACAGUAAAGAAAUUUUCCCCUUAUCAAAAUAUUAUCAAAACCAAAAUUGUUUUCACUUGUUGCACGCUAUGAGAUGACACAAAUUUUAGAGCAAAUUCCACCUGCUGCAUCAGUUACGCCAGCAUUUGGGUACACUACAGUACCGGCCACAGUUCAAAACACUAACACAGUCGAUUCACCAUAUCCAUCACCAUCAUCCUAUUCACACCACUCAGGAGAAAACAUGACAACCAGUUUCAGGAAAUGUAAAGGACAUGAAAAAGACAUCGUACACACACAUUAGAACAUGUUUUGUACUAGCAUAAUGCACAAAAUAACAUAUGAUUGUACGUAAUAAUUAGUUUUAUACUCCCCUUAAGCAUACAAGCCUGUUUUUGUUUCAAUGGAAUCUCAAGCAGAUAGUUGAAUUUAGA
Macrobrachium nipponense is the source of this 1121-nucleotide long non-coding RNA. RefSeq lists it as uncharacterized. The transcript is spliced from 3 exons. NCBI's taxonomy places the organism in Eukaryota, Metazoa, Arthropoda, Malacostraca, Decapoda, Palaemonidae. The record is from RefSeq and is a predicted model, not a curated record.